UCCGGCUUGUCACCGGCGGUCUCGUCAGAGUUCCCAACUAAAUGAUGGCAACAGACGAUAAGGGUUGCGCUCGUUGCGGGACUUAACCCAACAUCUCACGACACGAGCUGACGACAGCCAUGCAGCACCUGUAUCCAAGCCAGCCGAACUGAAGAAAUCCAUUUCUGGAAAUCAUACUUGGUAUGUCAAGCGUAGGUAAGGUUCUUCGCGUUGCGUCGAAUUAAACAACAUACUCCACCGCUUGUGCGGGUCCCCGUCAAUUCCUUUGAGUUUUAAUCUUGCGACCGUACUCCCCAGGCGGUGUGCUUAAUGGUUUCCCUGCGCCGCCGAAGCCGUAAGCUCCAACAGCUAGCACACAUCGUUUACAGCGUGGACUAC
RNAcentral lists this unclassified non-coding RNA (378 nucleotides) under uncultured Alphaproteobacteria bacterium. Its description in RNAcentral is "contains 16S-23S intergenic spacer region". The record is from RNAcentral. Lineage: Bacteria; Pseudomonadati; Pseudomonadota; Alphaproteobacteria.